UUAACUCGAAUUCAUAUGCAGUUGGAACAGCGCCCUUAGAGGCAAACGUAGGUAAACGUUCCAACUCCAUACAAAUUUGAGUUA
This 84-nucleotide microRNA precursor is filed under the name Bombyx mori (domestic silkworm). RNAcentral describes it as "mir-2807 microRNA precursor family". It matches the Rfam family "mir-2807 microRNA precursor family". Lineage: Eukaryota; Metazoa; Arthropoda; Insecta; Lepidoptera; Bombycidae. The record is from Rfam by way of RNAcentral.